Molecule: ribosomal RNA, 301 nt
Filed under: uncultured bacterium
Lineage: Bacteria
Description: partial 16S ribosomal RNA
Rfam family: Bacterial small subunit ribosomal RNA
Source: RNAcentral
CAGCCGCCGCGGUAAUACGAGGGGGGCAUGCGUUGUUCAGAAUUAUUGGGCGUAAAGGGUGCGUAGGCGGUUUGACAAGUCUUAUGUGAAAUCUCUGGGCUCAACCCAGAGUCUGCAUGGGAAACUGUCGAGCUUGAGUAUGGGAGAGGUGAGUGGAAUUUCCGGUGUAGCGGUGAAAUGCGUAGAUAUCGGAAGGAACACCUGUGGCGAAAGCGGCUCACUGGACCAUUACUGACGCUGAUGCACGAAAGCUAGGGGAGCAAACAGGAUUAGAUACCCCGGUAGUCCCUGUCUCUUAUAC